GGCUCCGUUCUACAGCUCCGUGGCAGGCCACCUGCUUUGAAUGCAGACGGUCCCGGGUUCAAUUUCCCGGGAGGGCUG
Non-coding RNA from Podarcis lilfordi (Lilford's wall lizard), 78 nucleotides. Lineage: Eukaryota; Metazoa; Chordata; Lepidosauria; Squamata; Lacertidae. The record is from the annotation of a GenBank genome assembly.